Molecule: ribosomal RNA, 484 nt
Filed under: uncultured bacterium
Lineage: Bacteria
Description: partial 16S ribosomal RNA
Rfam family: Bacterial small subunit ribosomal RNA
Source: RNAcentral
AUUGAACGCUGGCGGAAUGCUUUACACAUGCAAGUCGAACGGCAGCACGGGGGCAACCCUGGUGGCGAGUGGCGAACGGGUGAGUAAUACAUCGGAACGUGCCCGGUCGUGGGGGAUAACGUAGCGAAAGUUACGCUAAUACCGCAUACGAUCUGAUGAUGAAAGCGGGGGACCUUCGGUCCUCGCGCGAUCGGAGCGGCCGGUGUCAGAUUAGGUAGUUGGUGGGGUAACGGCGUACCAAGCCGACGAUCUGUAGCUGAUCUGCGAGGACGACCAGGCACACUGGAACUGAGACACGGGCCAGACGCCUACGGGAGGCAGCAGUAGGGAAUCGUGGGCAAGGGGCGAAAGCCUGACGGAGAAACGCCGCGUGAGUGAAGAAGGUCUUCGGAUCGUAAAACGCUGUGAUUAGGGAAGAAAAAAUGAGGAAGUAACUAUGCACGUCAUGACGGUACCUAAUCAGAAAGCCACGGCUAACUACGUG